RNAcentral lists this long non-coding RNA (1551 nucleotides) under Lotus japonicus. RNAcentral describes it as "long non-coding RNA (LJAP_LNC001328)". Lineage: Eukaryota; Viridiplantae; Streptophyta; Magnoliopsida; Fabales; Fabaceae. The record is from RNAcentral.
CAUUGUACAGGUCCUGCAGAAGUGACAGAAGCUGUGGUCGCUUUUGGUAGUAAGUUUCUGCUCUUUCUGCAAAAGUAUCACCCAUCUCUUCAUCUUCCAUUGUGUUCAUUGCCAACAUUUUCAUCCUCUCUUCCAGGUCUGCAAUCAAAGACAAAUUUCACAUUUGAAUUAGUACUGUGCAAGAAAAAAAGAACAGAAAGAACAAUGCUUUUCUUUACCUGUUUUACUCAAUUCCAUGGCUUCUUAAACUAAAGCCACAACCCACAUUAUUAUACUAUUGAAAUGCACCAAAAAGAAGGGUUAAUAUAAGUCCAGAUCUCAACUGGGUUGAACUGUUAUUGAGGUCUAGGAAAGUGACAGGCCACCCAACAAUGACACAAGAAAAGGGAACACUGACAAAAACCAUUAAAAAUUCUGGUACACAAGAUAAUAUGUUUUUAUUACAAAACAGUGAAUGACAAUAUGACUAAUUUGAAAAAUAGAAUUUGAAUUGCAAUGUUUUUUUUUUCUCGUCUAAAUCACAUAUAUCAAUAGGGCCACUACUAGGGGGCGACACAACUUUCUCUACCAAAAAUUUAACAUAUUGUAGUUACAUUCACAUAAAUUCAAACCUAAUACAUCUGCUUAAGUUAGAACAACCAAACAUAAGUUGAUCUACAAGUUCGGUAGUAUUUGAAUUAGUGAUUCAUAAACUACUUAACAGUAACAACACCUUCUAUACAUCUUAAUUUUCUCUAUCUCUCUAUUUCAAUCGCAUCACAUUAUAUAUUACAUCCAUAAUUUAUCACUCUCUACUUCCUAUCUCACUGUGUGUAUGCCAUUUAUCAAAGGGUGUACACUGUACACCAUACAUUAUUGUAUUUGAAUUGCAAUUGUAAUGUGGUUGCAGGCAUAGCAUACUAGAGUCUAGUGCUACAUUUGCCUCUGGCUUUGAAUGCAAAGGUCAGCAUCAUGUACUGCACCUGACCUGGGCAUGUGCAACUGUAGAGUGUAAGACAGAAAAGCCCUUAACCUCCAACUUUCCAUUUUUUUUAGAAUAAAACCAAUUAAGUUUAGGAGAAUAUCAGCACGGACCACGAGGCAAAAAUGGAAAGGUCACCGUUACAAGACACACCAAAAUCUAAUGUACACUGCAACAAGCAAGGAAAGGAAGCGUCUUGGAUAGAUGAUGGACAAGGACCAUUUUUCAAAAUUUAAACACCAAUUUAGGGUCUAAAAAAGCUCUGUAAAAGGCAAAAGCCAAACUAAAGAACAAAAAGGUUACGGGGAAAGUGACAAUGGAUCUAGAGCCACAACGACACCAAAGGGUUUCAAAAUCUGGUUCAAAUCAAAUUGGAAAUUUGAAAGCAGAUCCACACCAAAGGGUAGUGUAGACCUGGCAACAGCAACAGCCACCUAUUAAAAAGUCCUAUUCACACUUCAUAGCAACUUUUUCUAUGCACAUGUUUGACAUUUCCAAAUUUGUGUUAUCACUCUCACAGAAAUUUAGCUUACUUAACUUUCUUUUUUUGAAAUUUUACUUAACAUUAAACCAACAUUUUAUUGUUUAAC